Molecule: ribosomal RNA, 427 nt
Filed under: uncultured bacterium
Lineage: Bacteria
Description: bacterial SSU rRNA
Rfam family: Bacterial small subunit ribosomal RNA
Source: RNAcentral
GUGAGGAAUAUUGCGCAAUGGAGGAAACUCUGACGCAGCGACGCCGCGUGGGUGAUGAAGGCCUUCGGGUCGUAAAACCCUUUUGGCAGGGACGAGUGAGGACGGUACCUGUUGAAUAAGUCUCGGCUAACUACGUGCCAGCAGCCGCGGUAAAACGUAGGAGGCAAGCGUUAUCCGGAUUCACUGGGCGUAAAGCGUGCGUAGGCGGUUGAGUAAGUCGGAUGUGAAAGCCCUUGGCUCAACUGAGGGAGGUCAUUCGAUACUGCUCGGCUUGAGGAUGAGAGAGGAGAGCGGAAUUCCCGGUGUAGCGGUGGAAUGCGUAGAGAUCGGGAGGAACACCAGCGGCGAAAGCGGCUCUCUGGCUCAUAUCUGACGCUGAGUGCACGACAGCGUGGGGAGCAAACGGGAUUAGAUACCCUUGUAGUCC